RNAcentral lists this signal recognition particle RNA (98 nucleotides) under Planctomycetaceae bacterium. RNAcentral's name for it is "signal recognition particle sRNA small type". It matches the Rfam family "Bacterial small signal recognition particle RNA". Rfam says of the family: The signal recognition particle (SRP) is a universally conserved ribonucleoprotein involved in the co-translational targeting of proteins to membranes. Archaeal SRP consists of a 7S RNA and homologues of the eukaryotic SRP19 and SRP54 proteins. The record is from RNAcentral. Lineage: Bacteria; Pseudomonadati; Planctomycetota; Planctomycetia; Planctomycetales; Planctomycetaceae.
GGCGAGGGACCCCGGCAAUGGGAGGCUGUGAACCUGGUCAGGGGAGAGAUUCAGCAGCCAUAAACGGUACCUUUCAUGUGUUUGGGUCUCUCGCCGAA